GAUAAGAACGUAGCGAAAUGCGAUACGUAAUGUGAAUUGCAGAAUUCAGUGAAUCAUCGAGUCUUUGAACGCACAUUGCGCCCCCUGGUAUUCCGGGGGGCAUGCCUGUCCGAGCGUCAUUGCUGCCCUCAAGCACGGCUUGUGUGUUGGGCCUCCGUCCUCCUCCCGGGGGACGGGCCCGAAAGGCAGCGGCGGCACCGCGUCCGGUCCUCGAGCGUAUGGGGCUUCGUCACCCGCUCUUGUAGGCCCGGCCGGCGCUUGCCGACACAUCAAUCUUUUUUCCAGGUUGACCUCGGAUCAGGUAGGGAUACCCGCUGAACUUAAGCAUAUCAAUAAGCGGAGGA
Molecule: unclassified non-coding RNA, 344 nt
Filed under: soil metagenome
Description: partial contains 5.8S ribosomal RNA, internal transcribed spacer 2, and large subunit ribosomal RNA
Rfam family: 5.8S ribosomal RNA (bases 4-119)
Source: RNAcentral